RNAcentral lists this ribosomal RNA (320 nucleotides) under uncultured Anaerolineaceae bacterium. Its description in RNAcentral is "bacterial SSU rRNA". It matches the Rfam family "Bacterial small subunit ribosomal RNA", at positions 1050 to 1382 of the family's 1533-position model. Lineage: Bacteria; Bacillati; Chloroflexota; Anaerolineae; Anaerolineales; Anaerolineaceae. The record is from RNAcentral.
UGUCGUCAGCUCGUGUCGUGAGAUGUUCGGUUAAGUCCGCUAACGAGCGCAACCCUCGUCGUAUGUUAUAUGUGUCAUACGAGACUGCCGGUAAAAGACCGGAGGAAGGUGAGGAUGAUGUCAAGUCAGCAUGACCUUUAUAUCCAGGGCGUACACACGCGCUACAAUGGUCUGUACAAUGGGUAGCCAAGCCGCGAGGCGGAGCCAAUCCUGAAAGCAGGCCUCAGUUCAGAUUGCAGUCUGCAACUCGACUGCAUGAAGCCGGAGUUGCUAGUAACCGCAGGUCAGCAAUACUGCGGUGAAUAUGUUCCCGGGUCCUU